GUGAAUCAUCGAAUCUUUGAACGCACCUUGCGCUCCUUGGUAUUCCGAGGAGCAUGCCUGUUUGAGUGUCAUUAAAUUCUCAAUCUCUACAACUUUGUGUUGUCUAGAUCGGAAGUGGGGGUUUAUUGUGUGGAAUCUAAUUCCUCACUCCCCUUAAAUGCAUUAGCUGGAAUGCCUCUGCAUAUCUGACUAUCAGUGUGAUAAUUAUCUAUACUGUAGUUGUUGCAUGAGGGUAUCUGCUUCAUAAAUCGUCGCAAGACAAUUCUAUAUGACCAUCUUGACCUCAAAUCAGGUAGGACU
This 300-nucleotide unclassified non-coding RNA is filed under the name uncultured Conocybe. Its description in RNAcentral is "sequence contains 5.8S rRNA gene, ITS2". The stretch from base 1 to 71 matches the Rfam family "5.8S ribosomal RNA", at positions 84 to 154 of the family's 154-position model. Lineage: Eukaryota; Fungi; Basidiomycota; Agaricomycetes; Agaricales; Bolbitiaceae. The record is from RNAcentral.